RNAcentral lists this small RNA (210 nucleotides) under Staphylococcus aureus. It matches the Rfam family "S. aureus tsr24 small RNA", at positions 1 to 179 of the family's 238-position model. The record is from RNAcentral. Lineage: Bacteria; Bacillati; Bacillota; Bacilli; Caryophanales; Staphylococcaceae.
ACAGGCUCUACAUCAAUUUUUCUUUGACUAUUGAUUUUUUUCGUUUCUGGUUCAGAAAGCUUUUGAUUAAUUUGGGCUUUAAAGUAUUUCAAAGUAAAAUUACAUGUUAAUACGUAGUAUUAAUGGCGAGACUCCUGAGGGAGCAGUGCCAGUCGAAGACAGGGGCCCCAACACAGAAGCUGACAUAUAGUCAGCUUACAACAAUGUGCC